CCCCCUACGGGAGGCAGCAGUAGGGAAUCUUCGGCAAUGGGCGAAAGCCUGACCGAGCAACGCCGCGUGAAUGAAGAAGGCCUUCGGGUUGUAAAAUUCUGUUAUAAGGGAAGAAAGGUGAUAGGAGGAAAUGACUAUCAAUUGACGGUACCUUAUGAGAAAGCCACGGCUAACUACGUGCCAGCAGCCGCGGUAAUACGUAGGUGGCAAGCGUUAUCCGGAAUUAUUGGGUUUAAAGGGUGCGCAGGCGGAGGCACAAGUCAGCGGUAAAAUCGCGGGGCUCAACCCCGCUCCGCCGUUGAAAC
Molecule: ribosomal RNA, 305 nt
Filed under: uncultured bacterium
Lineage: Bacteria
Description: bacterial SSU rRNA
Rfam family: Bacterial small subunit ribosomal RNA
Source: RNAcentral